GAUGGAAAGCUGCUUGGUUUUAUACCAAAGGGUCACAAGUCCCUAAAGCUGAGUGCAUC
The submitters of this non-coding RNA (59 nucleotides) gave its source as unclassified sequences. The record is from Rfam.